RNAcentral lists this ribosomal RNA (253 nucleotides) under uncultured bacterium. RNAcentral's name for it is "partial 16S ribosomal RNA". It matches the Rfam family "Bacterial small subunit ribosomal RNA", at positions 524 to 776 of the family's 1533-position model. The record is from RNAcentral.
UACGUAGGGGGCGAGCGUUGUCCGGAAUUACUGGGCGUAAAGAGAGCGUAGGCGGCACUACAGGUCUCAUGUGAAAUACCCGGGCUUAACUUGGGGGUUGCAUGGGAAACUGUAGAGCUUGAGUACAGGAGAGGCAAGCGGAAUUCCUAGUGUAGCGGUGAAAUGCAUAGAUAUUAGGAGGAACACCAGUGGCGAAGGCGGCUUGCUGGACUGAAACUGACGCUGAGGCUCGAAAGCGUGGGGAGCAAACAGG